RNAcentral lists this ribosomal RNA (1425 nucleotides) under Shigella boydii. Its description in RNAcentral is "bacterial SSU rRNA". It matches the Rfam family "Bacterial small subunit ribosomal RNA", at positions 8 to 1339 of the family's 1533-position model. The record is from RNAcentral. Lineage: Bacteria; Pseudomonadati; Pseudomonadota; Gammaproteobacteria; Enterobacterales; Enterobacteriaceae.
AGAGUUUGAUCAUGGCUCAGAUUGAACGCUGGCGGCAGGCCUAACACAUGCAAGUCGAACGGUAACAGGAAUCAGCUUGCUGAUUCGCUGACGAGUGGCGGACGGGUGAGUAAUGUCUGGGAAACUGCCUGAUGGAGGGGGAUAACUACUGGAAACGGUAGCUAAUACCGCAUAAUGUCGCAAGACCAAAAAGGGGGACCUUCGGGCCUCUUGCCAUCGGAUGUGCCCAGAUGGGAUUAGCUUGUUGGUGGGGUAACGGCUCACCAAGGCGACGAUCCCUAGCUGGUCUGAGAGGAUGACCAGCCACACUGGAACUGAGACACGGUCCAGACUCCUACGGGAGGCAGCAGUGGGGAAUAUUGCACAAUGGGCGCAAGCCUGAUGCAGCCAUGCCGCGUGUAUGAAGAAGGCCUUCGGGUUGUAAAGUACUUUCAGCGGGGAGGAAGGGAGUAAAGUUAAUACCUUUGCUCAUUGACGUUACCCGCAGAAGAAGCACCGGCUAACUCCGUGCCAGCAGCCGCGGUAAUACGGAGGGUGCAAGCGUUAAUCGGAAUUACUGGGCGUAAAGCGCACGCAGGCGGUUUGUUAAGUCAGAUGUGAAAUCCCCGGGCUCAACCUGGGAACUGCAUCUGAUACUGGCAAGCUUGAGUCUCGUAGAGGGGGUAGAAUUCCAGGUGUAGCGGUGAAAUGCGUAGAGAUCUGGAGGAAUACCGGUGGCGAAGGCGGCCCCUGGACGAAGACUGACGCUCAGGUGCGAAAGCGUGGGGAGCAAACAGGAUUAGAUACCCUGGUAGUCCACGCCGUAAACGAUGUCGACUUGGAGGUUGUGCCCUUGAGGCGUGGCUUCCGGAGCUAACGCGUUAAGUCGACCGCCUGGGGAGUACGGCCGCAAGGUUAAAACUCAAAUGAAUUGACGGGGGCCCGCAGCGGUGGAGCAUGUGGUUUAAUUCGAUGCAACGCGAAGAACCUUACCUGGUCUUGACAUCCACGGAAGUUUUCAGAGAUGAGAAUGUGCCUUCGGGAACCGUGAGACAGGUGCUGCAUGGCUGUCGUCAGCUCGUGUUGUGAAAUGUUGGGUUAAGUCCCGCAACGAGCGCAACCCUUAUCCUUUGUUGCCAGCGGUCCGGCCGGGAACUCAAAGGAGACUGCCAGUGAUAAACUGGAGGAAGGUGGGGACGACGUCAAGUCAUCAUGGCCCUUACGACAGGGCUACACACGUGCUACAAUGGCGCAUACAAAGAGAAGCGACCUGCGGUGUGACACAAGGCCGGGAACGUAUUCACCGUGGCAUUCUGAUCCACGAUUACUAGCGAUUCCGACUUCAUGGAGUCGAGUUGCAGACUCCAAUCCGGACUACGACGCACUUUAUGAGGUCCGCUUGCUCUCGCGAGGUCGCUUCUCUUUGUAUGCGCCAUUGUAGCACGU